Molecule: non-coding RNA, 157 nt
Organism: Podarcis lilfordi (Lilford's wall lizard)
Lineage: Eukaryota; Metazoa; Chordata; Lepidosauria; Squamata; Lacertidae
Source: the annotation of a GenBank genome assembly
GCCUCACUUGAAAAAGUGCUUUGAAGGAAUUGCUAGUGUGGAGUUUACCGAAGUCUUGGAUAUUACGCACAUGAAAAGCAGCGAAGGAGAAGUCAUAGCCCUCAUUAACACAAUAUCAACAGCUAAAGCUAGAGGUCAAGUGGAAAAAUGGCUAGUU